RNAcentral lists this ribosomal RNA (251 nucleotides) under uncultured bacterium. RNAcentral describes it as "partial 16S ribosomal RNA". It matches the Rfam family "Bacterial small subunit ribosomal RNA", at positions 15 to 263 of the family's 1533-position model. The record is from RNAcentral.
GAUCCUGGUUCAGGACGAACGCUGGCGGCGUGCUUAACACAUGCAAGUCGAACGCUGAAGCCUAGCUUGCUGGGUGGAUGAGUGGCGAACGGGUGAGUAACACGUGAGUAACCUGCCCUCUUCUUUGGGAUAACGCCCGGAAACGGGUGCUAAUACUGGAUAUUCACUGAUUCUCGCAUGGGGGUUGGUGGAAAGGUUUUUCUGUGGGGGAGUGGCUCGCGGCCUAUCAGCUUGUUGGUGGGGGUGGAUGG